This is a long non-coding RNA of Perca fluviatilis (European perch), 618 nucleotides long. RefSeq lists it as uncharacterized. Lineage: Eukaryota; Metazoa; Chordata; Actinopteri; Perciformes; Percidae. The transcript has 2 exons. The record is from RefSeq and is a predicted model, not a curated record.
AAAACCAAUGCAAGCAAGGUAACUAACUAAAGGAAAAUUUAAAUCAAAAGAGAAUGAAAUAAGCAAAGGGAUAAAAGUAACAAUAAAAAACUAAAUAUAUACAUAAAUAAAUGUGCCAUGUCCGCACAGACACACCUAAACAUUUACAUAAAGGACAUACAGUUCUUAUUUUAAGGAGUACUCAUUUCAUAUUGAGAUAACACGGUCCUCAUUUGUGAAACGUUUGUAUAUUUAUAUUUGAUUUUAGCUUGUGUGUAUGCACAAAUUAAAAACUGUUAGGCCUGCUGCUCCUAGGUAGCUUCUUUGUCUCUCCUCUCUCCCUCCCUUUGUCUGUCCUAAUUGCAGGAGUGGAGUCUGGUAUGCGGGAGUCAGGGUUCCAGCUGCCUCUCAUCUACCACAAUCAACCUCUGGUUCAUAUAGCCGGUCAUUCCUCCACUCUGCGUCAGAUCAUAGCCAAGAUGAUCACAAGAACCACCACUGGACCCCCCUAUUAGCCGGCCUACUGUAUUACUCUGACGGACCCACUCCUGCCCGGAAACCACCGGACCUGUUCUCCACCCUGGAAACCUGGACUUGCUUUUGAUACUUAAGUACUUUGAAUAAACCUGUUAAUUCACA